Molecule: ribosomal RNA, 442 nt
Filed under: uncultured bacterium
Lineage: Bacteria
Description: partial 16S ribosomal RNA
Rfam family: Bacterial small subunit ribosomal RNA
Source: RNAcentral
CCUACGGGUGGCAGCAGUAGGGAAUCUUUCACAAUGGGCGAAAGCCUGAUGGAGCAACGCCGCGUGCAGGAUGAAGGCCUUCGAGUUGUAAACUGCUUUUAUAAGCGAGAAAUAUGAUGGUAACUUAUGAAUAAGGAUCGGCUAACUACGUGCCAGCAGCCGCGGUCAUACGUAGGAUCCGAGCAUUAUCCGGAGUGACUGGGUGUAAAGAGUUUCGUAGGUGGCAUAAUAAGUAGCUAGUGAAAUCUGGUGGCUCAACCAUUCAGACUAUUAGCUAAACUGUUAAGCUCGAGACCGUUAGGGGUAACUGGAAUUUCUAGUGUAGGAGUGAAAUCCGUAGAUAUUAGAAGGAACACCAAUAGCGUAGGCAGGUUGCUGGGACGGUUCUGACACUAAGGCACGAAAGCGUAGGGAGCAAACGGGAUUAGAUACCCCUGUAGUC